RNAcentral lists this ribosomal RNA (474 nucleotides) under uncultured bacterium. RNAcentral describes it as "bacterial SSU rRNA". It matches the Rfam family "Bacterial small subunit ribosomal RNA", at positions 30 to 524 of the family's 1533-position model. The record is from RNAcentral.
AUUGAACGCUGGCGGCAUGCCUUACACAUGCAAGUCGAACGGUAACGGGCCUUCGGGUGCCGACGAGUGGCGAACGGGUGAGUAAUGUAUCGGAACGUACCUUUCAGUGGGGGAUAACGUAGCGAAAGUUACGCUAAUACCGCAUAUUCUGUGAGCAGGAAAGCAGGGGAUCGCAAGACCUUGCGCUGAUUGAGCGGCCGAUAUCAGAUUAGCUAGUUGGUGAGGUAAAGGCUCACCAAGGCGACGAUCUGUAGCGGGUCUGAGAGGAUGAUCCGCCACACUGGAACUGAGACGCGGUCCAGACUCCUACGGGAGGCAGCAGUGGGGAAUUUUGGACAAUGGGGGCAACCCUGAUCCAGCCAUGCCGCGUGAGUGAUGAAGGCCUUAGGGUUGUAAAGCUCUUUUGCCGGGGACGAUAAUGACGGUACCCGGAGAAUAAGUCCCGGCUAACUUCGUGCCAGCAGCCGCGGUAAU